CCUACGGGUGGCUGCAGUGGGGAAUAUUGGACAAUGGGGGCAACCCUGAUCCAGCCAUGCCGCGUGUGUGAAGAAGGCCCUCGGGUUGUAAAGCACUUUCAGUGAGGAAGAACGCCUGGUGGUUAAUACCCAUCAGGAAAGACAUCACUCACAGAAGAAGCACCGGCUAACUCCGUGCCAGCAGCCGCGGUAAUACGGAGGGUGCGAGCGUUAAUCGGAAUUACUGGGCGUAAAGCGCGCGUAGGUGGCUUGAUAAGCCGGUUGUGAAAGCCCCGGGCUCAACCUGGGAACGGCAUCCAGAACUGUCAAGCUAGAGUGCAGGAGAGGAAGGUAGAAUUCCCGGUGUAGCGGUGAAAUGCGUAGAGAUCGGGAGGAAUACCAGUGGCGAAGGCGGCCUUCUGGACUGACACUGACACUGAGGUGCGAAAGCGUGGGUAGCAAACAGGAUUAGAUACCCUGGUAGUC
RNAcentral lists this ribosomal RNA (465 nucleotides) under Vreelandella stevensii. Its description in RNAcentral is "partial 16S ribosomal RNA". It matches the Rfam family "Bacterial small subunit ribosomal RNA", at positions 338 to 795 of the family's 1533-position model. The record is from RNAcentral. Lineage: Bacteria; Pseudomonadati; Pseudomonadota; Gammaproteobacteria; Oceanospirillales; Halomonadaceae.